RNAcentral lists this ribosomal RNA (540 nucleotides) under uncultured Geobacteraceae bacterium. RNAcentral describes it as "bacterial SSU rRNA". It matches the Rfam family "Bacterial small subunit ribosomal RNA", at positions 9 to 526 of the family's 1533-position model. Lineage: Bacteria; Pseudomonadati; Thermodesulfobacteriota; Desulfuromonadia; Geobacterales; Geobacteraceae. The record is from RNAcentral.
GAGUUUGAUCCUGGCUCAGAACGAACGCUGGCGGCGUGCCUAACACAUGCAAGUCGAACGGAUUUGAGGAGCUUGCUUCUCAAGUUAGUGGCGCACGGGUGAGUAACGCGUAGAUAAUCUGCCUGAUGAUCUGGGAUAACACUUCGAAAGGGGUGCUAAUACCGGAUAAGCCCACGGAGUCUUUGGACUUUGCGGGAAAAGGGGGGGACCUUCGGGCCUUCUGUCAUCARAUGAGUCUGCGUACCAUUAGCUAGUUGGUAGGGUAAAGGCCUACCAAGGCUACGAUGGUUAGCUGGUCUGARAGGAUGAUCAGCCACACUGGAACUGAGACACGGUCCAGACUCCUACGGGAGGCAGCAGUGGGGAAUUUUGCGCAAUGGGCGAAAGCCUGACGCAGCAACGCCGCGUGAGUGAUGAAGGCUUUCGGGUCGUAAAGCUCUGUCGAGGGGAAAGAAGUGUAUUAGGGCUAAUAUCCCUAAUACUUGACGGUACCCCUAAAGGAAGCACCGGCUAACUCCGUGCCAGCAGCCGCGGUAAUAC